CAGGUGCGGCUUCAGAUUUGAAUAUCCUGGGGCUCUUCCGUUCUUGAUCCGGGCUUCAGCUCUGAGCCGGAGGUUGGUGUCGGUGUCCGAAGGACCGGCAGGGAGCACACAGCUGCACAGAUUCCUUAAAAGCAAAUGGAAGUCACAGAUGUACAAACAGAGGAAGGAUUUGGGCCAUUUUUGUUACAGUCUGAAGAAAAGUCAAAUAUAAUCUACCAGCACCAAGAUGCUGUGCAGGUUCUCUAUGAUAAAGCAAAGAAGAAUACAAGGAGGGACCGGUGCAGGCAAUUAACAUCAACUGUUAGGACACUGAUUGCAGGUAUGACUGAAUUAUUAUAGGGAAGGUAUUGUUACCUCCCUUAGUGCCUAGAUAGUUCUUGUAAAGAAGAUAAAGCUUUAAACAAUAAAAUAUUUAGCACCCCUGGCAGAACGGUGCUAAAACCACAUGUACAGGAGGACAGAAGCUGCUCUCACACAGCAGCCAUCUUGUUCCACCUCUUCAUGGUCAUCCAAUUUGCUUUCUUAGCUUUUGUCUUAAAGUUAAGGCAGUCGGAGUUGGAAAAAAAAUCAGAGAUGUCCCUCUGGUGUAUUUCUAG
Molecule: long non-coding RNA, 596 nt
Filed under: Gallus gallus (chicken)
Lineage: Eukaryota; Metazoa; Chordata; Aves; Galliformes; Phasianidae
Source: RNAcentral